RNAcentral lists this unclassified non-coding RNA (300 nucleotides) under uncultured Simocybe. RNAcentral's name for it is "sequence contains 5.8S rRNA gene, ITS2". The stretch from base 1 to 71 matches the Rfam family "5.8S ribosomal RNA", at positions 84 to 154 of the family's 154-position model. Lineage: Eukaryota; Fungi; Basidiomycota; Agaricomycetes; Agaricales; Crepidotaceae. The record is from RNAcentral.
GUGAAUCAUCGAAUCUUUGAACGCAUCUUGCGCUCCUUGGUAUUCCGAGGAGCAUGCCUGUUUGAGUGUCAUUAAUUUCUCAACCUCACCAGCUUUUGUUGGUUCUGAGGCUUGGAUGUGGGGGUUUGCUGGCUUCUAACGAGGUCGGCUCCUCUGAAAUGCAUUAGCGGUGCCCUGGUGGACCCGACUAUCAGUGUGAUAAUUAUCUACGCUGUUGGACGACCACGCCUUCAAGGGGUUGUACUGCUUCUAACCGUCCGUUCUGGACAAUACGAUGACAAUUUUGACCUCAAAUCAGGU